GGUUGCGGCCAUAUCUAGCAGAAAGCACCGUUUCCCGUCCGAUCAACUGUAGUUAAGCUGCUAAGAGCGGGACCGAGUAGUGUAGUGGGAGACCAUACGCGAAACUCUCGUGCUGCAAUCUCUUUUUUUUUAUUUA
Molecule: ribosomal RNA, 136 nt
Filed under: Penicillium nalgiovense
Lineage: Eukaryota; Fungi; Ascomycota; Eurotiomycetes; Eurotiales; Aspergillaceae
Source: RNAcentral